Molecule: long non-coding RNA, 1638 nt
Organism: Sander lucioperca (pikeperch)
Lineage: Eukaryota; Metazoa; Chordata; Actinopteri; Perciformes; Percidae
Exons: 2
Source: RefSeq, a predicted model, not a curated record
ACCAAAAUACCGGUACUGUAUACAGUACUGUGCACAACGUAUGUGUGCAUGUGCUUGUAGAUAGUUAAAUAAAAUAAUAAACAUAUAUUUUAAACAUAUUUCUAAAGGGUUUACAACAGAAAACUGCUUGGUCAGUACCACAGAUGUUUUGAAGCAGAUUGUUAAAAUUCAAUUGCUCUUUUUCUGUGGCUGAAAGCCUGCUUGUAGACUACUGUAAAUGUCCUAAGGCUGUAAAACUCAAACAUCUGCUUCUGGUAUUUCAAACAAGAACAAACACAGAGAAGAAAUUGCUGAUACAGUUUGACUCAGGUCUAGUGUUUUUUAGUGAUACUUUUAACAAUAGAUUAAAUGAGUGGUUCACUCUUAGUGACAGACCUAAUUUCAUUGGUUGAGUCAAACCUGUUGGGGCCAUUUGCUCCCUGUUCAAUUUAGAAUAGAUUUUUAGAUUUUUCUGAACACUUUUAGAGCACGUCUAGGUCUGGCCUUAAGCUAUAUAUAAUGUUGACCCCAUUUGAGCUAGUUUGCAGCCUCAGCUCCUCAUGUGGGGGCUUUUUGGUCAGUCCUAAAUCAAGGCUAAAAUCUAAAGGUGACUUUGUUUUUGCCAUCAGGGUCCAUCGGUUUUGGCACACCCUGCCUGAGAUAAGGCUUGCAGAAUCAGUGACUUCAGUUAAAAUCUCUUCUCAACUUGGUUGUAUGAAUCUUCACGGCACCAGUGAACCGUCUCUACUUCUUUAGCUUCAGUACCUAUGGCUACAAUACUCACAUCAUGGAGGCCAUUUUAAUGAAAACGGCGUUCGUCAAAUUUCAACCUAUGAUAGACCUUUAGCUGACAGCUCAGACAGUAGCAGUAACACUGUUGUCCUGCAAUUGGCUGCUGGUGAUAAAGUGUACAUGGAACUGUGGGAUAAUGGCAGAGUGUUUGUCAACUUGAAUGGACACACAACCUUCAGUGGUUUUCUUGUCUUCCGUCUGUAAAUCAUUAGAGACAAAGCAUUGCAUUGUGCUUUUACACUGAGGAGAGAUGCUUAUGCAACAAUAUUUGUAAAAUCUGGGAAAUUGCUUUAUUUACAUUGUGGCACUGUCCCAAAGCAGGGUGCUGACAUGAGAAUUACAAAGUAUGAUUAUCUUAUCCAAAAUGAAAACAAACCUUUAUUGAAAAAUCUCAAAAACCCAUGCAUGUUUUUUUUUUAAUUUUAAAGUAAAUUUUAAUGAAAAUAUGAAUGUGCGAAGCUUCUUUAGAACAAUAAAUGCAAAACAUACUUCUUACAUUGUCUCUUUUCCUGUCUGUGGUGACUAAAGACAGCUUUCAGCUUGUUCUGCAAUGACAAAAUGUGUUCACCUGCCUUACACUAAAAGUAUGCCAACCAUGAACACGAGUGAAUAGCUUCAUCUUGUGUUCAUAGUUGGUUAUUGCAGUAGUUAGUGUAACUAUAUUUGUAUUCUUUGUUUUGUUAUAGAAAUAACUAUCAUCCCAUCCCUAACUAAAACAUGAAAAUCUUCAUUACAGUACCUUCUGAACACUGUGCAGUUAAUUUGAAUAUAUAGCACAAAAAUGCUCUAUCUUACAUAGAUAUCCUAUCGUUUGCAUGCCUCUAGGUUUCAUUGAGGUACUGUGUAAGAUAAAUUUACCUUGAUCAA